Non-coding RNA from Aegilops tauschii subsp. strangulata, 447 nucleotides. Lineage: Eukaryota; Viridiplantae; Streptophyta; Magnoliopsida; Poales; Poaceae. The record is from RefSeq and is a predicted model, not a curated record.
UGCAGCGGCCCUCCCUUCCCAGUCGGCCGGCGCCAGUUCGUCCCAUCCCUGGCCGCCCGUUCCUCCUCUUCCCGGCCGCGGCCGGGUCCUCCUCUCCAUGGCGGCCGGUUCCUCGCAUCCAUGCCGGCCGUUUCCUCCCUUCCGGAUGCCUGAUAAUCUCUCUUUCUCUAUCGUUUUGCAGCAGCUCGACGGAAGGACUCCAAGCAGCGGGUGCUCGACGGCCGGACUCGAACUGUGAAGAUGGUCAUGAAGAUGAACACAAGAAAAAAGAUGGUUAGGGGAGCUGCUGUUUUUGUUGCACUAGCUGCAAUGGCUGCUGUUUUUGAUGCUUUUGGGAAUUUCUUAUGUGAACUAUAUGGUUGUAUGUGCAACUUGUUGAAAAUUAUGUUCUGUGCUGUCAUUCAUGUGUUAUAAACUUGUCAAUAUCUAUUGUUAUGUUGUUUUUAA